RNAcentral lists this ribosomal RNA (497 nucleotides) under uncultured bacterium. RNAcentral describes it as "partial 16S ribosomal RNA". It matches the Rfam family "Bacterial small subunit ribosomal RNA", at positions 28 to 507 of the family's 1533-position model. The record is from RNAcentral.
GAUGAACGCUGGCGGCGUGCCUAAUACAUGCAAGUCGAGCGAACGGACGAGAAGCUUGCUUCUCUGAUGUUAGCGGCGGACGGGUGAGUAACACGUGGAUAACCUACCUAUAAGACUGGGAUAACUUCGGGAAACCGGAGCUAAUACCGGAUAAUAUUUUGAACCGCAUGGUUCAAAAGUGAAAGACGGUCUUGCUGUCACUUAUAGGUGGAUCCGCGCUGCAUUAGCUAGUUGGUAAGGUAACGGCUUACCAAGGCAACGAUGCAUAGCCGACCUGAGAGGGUGAUCGGCCACACUGGAACUGAGACACGGUCCAGACUCCUACGGGAGGCAGCAGUAGGGAAUCUUCCGCAAUGGGCGAAAGCCUGACGGAGCAACGCCGAGUGAGUGAUGAAGGUCUUCGGAUCGUAAAACUCUGUUAUUAGGGAAGAACAUAUGUGUAAGUAACUGUGCACAUCUUGACGGUACCUAAUCAGAAAGCCACGGCUAACUACGUG